RNAcentral lists this ribosomal RNA (468 nucleotides) under uncultured bacterium. RNAcentral's name for it is "bacterial SSU rRNA". It matches the Rfam family "Bacterial small subunit ribosomal RNA", at positions 337 to 796 of the family's 1533-position model. The record is from RNAcentral.
UCCUACGGGAGGCAGCAGUGGGGAAUAUUGGACAAUGGGGGGAACCCUGAUCCAGCCAUGCCGCGUGUGUGAAGAAGGCCUUUUGGUUGUAAAGCACUUUAAGCGAGGAGGAGGCUACCUAGAUUAAUACUCUGAGAUAGUGGACGUUACUCGCAGAAUAAGCACCGGCUAACUCUGUGCCAGCAGCCGCGGUAAUACAGAGGGUGCAAGCGUUAAUCGGAUUUACUGGGCGUAAAGCGUGCGUAGGUGGCCAAUUAAGUCAAAUGUGAAAUCCCCGAGCUUAACUUGGGAAUUGCAUUCGAUACUGGUUGGCUAGAGUAUGGGAGAGGAUGGUGGAAUUCCAGGUGUAGCGGUGAAAUGCGUAGAGAUCUGGAGGAAUACCGAUGGCGAAGGCAGCCAUCUGGCCUAAUACUGACACUGAGGUACGAAAGCAUGGGGAGCAAACAGGAUUAGAUACCCUGGUAGUCC